UUGAUUGUUUUGUUGAUUUAUUUGUGGUGUAUUAUUUUUUAUUGAAGAAUCAUUGGUGGUUAUUGUAGAUUAUCUUGAUACAAUUUUUAUACGAUAGUGUAUUUGUACCGUGAGGGGUAGAAUUUGGUUAUAAGUUUAUUUAGGAAGCUGAUUUUAUUUGUUGUACCUUGUGUAUCAGGGUUCAUUGAAAUUUAUUAUUUAUUUUUAUUUCCCGAUUUUGAAGGAGUUAAUGAUCUAUGUUAGUUACUGUUUCACCAGUAUUGAUAAUAGGUUAUUGGUAGUGAAAUGUUAUUCGUCUUUAGUGGUUUCUGGUUUUUCAAGAAAUGAAUUUAAUUCAUACAUCUUAUUUAAUGUUUAUUUUUUAAUUAUUUAUUUUUAUUUGAUGUUAAGAUUAAGGGGGAUUAGCUCUUUAUUUUAUUUUUAUAAUUGUUGUUGAGGAUUAAUAGUUUUGUGGAUUUUAUAGUGAUUUUCGGUUUGAUUAUGUUAAAAUUUUACUUGUUUUUGUUUGUGAAAUUUCAUUUAAUUUAAUUGGUUUAUUGGAAUAUUUUCUUUACCUUGGUCUGUAAAGUAAUUAUUGUGGAAUUAGUAAAUUUUUUUUUAUUGUUCUGUUAAUUGAUUGGUGUUAAAUUCCUUUUUAGGAAUUAGGCAAAAAUUCAUGUCCGCCUGUUUAACAAAAACAUCUUUUCUUGUUAGUUUUUGAAGUAUGGCCUGCCCACUGACAUUUAGGNNNNNNNNUGUUUAUUGAACUUGGUCUUUGAGUUAAAAUUCUUAAAUGUUUUUAUGGGACGAGAAGACCCUAUAGAGUUUGACAUCUGUUCUUGUUUUUAUUUAAAGUGGUUUGUAUUAAUUGUUUGAUGAGGACACAUGUUUUGUUGGGGUGAUGGGAGGAAUUUAUUUAACUCCUCUUUGGUUUAAGUUAUAUAUUUAUGUAUAUUGGUUUUGAUCCAUUUAUUUUGAUUAUAAGAUUAAAUUACCUUAGGGAUAACAGCGUUAUCUUCCUUGAGAGUUCUUAUUGGCGGGGAGGUUUGCGACCUCGAUGUUGGAUUAAGGUGAAUUUUUGGUGCAGGAGCUGAAAUUGAUUAGGUCUGUUCGACCUUUAAAAUCUUACAUGAUCUGAGUUCAGACCGGCGUGAGCCAGGUUGGUUUCUAUCUAUAAUAAUGUUUUAUAUCUUAGUACGAGAGGACCGGGUAUUUGGAAUAAUUUUGGUUAAUGUGGUUGGUGUUAAUUUGG
RNAcentral lists this ribosomal RNA (1231 nucleotides) under Furculitermes longilabius. RNAcentral describes it as "16S ribosomal RNA". The stretch from base 755 to 1160 matches the Rfam family "Bacterial large subunit ribosomal RNA", at positions 2049 to 2651 of the family's 2925-position model. Lineage: Eukaryota; Metazoa; Arthropoda; Insecta; Blattodea; Termitidae. The record is from RNAcentral.